Molecule: long non-coding RNA, 3044 nt
Organism: Cavia porcellus (domestic guinea pig)
Lineage: Eukaryota; Metazoa; Chordata; Mammalia; Rodentia; Caviidae
Exons: 2
Source: RefSeq, a predicted model, not a curated record
GGAAGGAUCGGGGAAGAAACGGCUUCUCAUGUCAUGGUAACCAAAAGGGAGAGUAUGCAAAGAAAAGCCAGAGAAUGAUGGUGUUCCUCAGACUUGGCAUCUUCAGCUUUCUCAAGCCUCCAUUACACUUUUGGCUUCCCCUUUACAGCUUAAUGACUUACUUUCAGGGCCACACUGCUGGACCUACCACAUCUUCUGAAAUCUGGGUAGAAGACGCACAGCUCUUACAUUCUUCUUUCCCAUAAAACCAGCACAAUGUGGAAGAUGUGGAGUGCUGUGGUCAGAUCUGCCAGUUUUCAGUUUCUCCUGGAUCAUGGUUACAAAGACAUCUGAUGCCUGAACUACGGGAAAUGCUUUCCUGGAUAGCACUGAAUGAACUUGGCUCCCCAGGGCUCUAGUUCCAAACUAAAGUCUUUCAUUAUUGGACUUUUAGUCUUGUGAUGGGUAAUAUAUUCUUAAUUUAUGAAAUGUUCCUCAGAUAAUUUUCCUAUUUUCUUGAUGCAAAGAAUUUGGCUCUUUUUUCAUGCUAAUCUUUUAAACAACUGUGCUCUUUUUUUUCUGCCAACUUUCCCAUGCUAUAUUUCUGAUGAAACUGCAAAUUUUUAAAAUAACUUAACUGUCAUUUUUUUCUCGUUUUCAUAACAGAUCUUGCUAGAAACAGCAAGCAUCCCUAACUAUAGAUGAACUACUGGGCCGCCUUGAACUUUCCUCAGCCACAUAAAUCCAUCAUACUUAAUCUUAACCUUCUGCAUAGUCUCAUGAUUUAGAUAAAGAUUUCAUUUGAUUUUUUUGCCAGAGUAUGACACCCAUGACCAGGAGUCCAACAGCCAAUGGAGUUCGUAUUCCUAACUGGAACUUCCGGAGACUAGCUUUACUGUAUGCAUUGCUAUCAGUAUUCUGUUCUUCUAGCUCUGAUCAGAAUUUCCCACCUACCUUGGCAAACAGUAUUCUAGAUUUUUCUGGUCAGAUUUUCAAACUACUCCCAAGAAUGUCUUCCAAACAACUGGAAGCCAGUAAGUUAGAUACGUUUACAGAAAUGAUCCCACUUUGUGUGUAAAAAUCUAUUUCGGUGACUUUCUUUCUUGCAGGGACAAAAUAUUCAAUACCCAGAACUUUAAGGACAAAACGUUUAUUUAGGCUAAUAUUUUGCUGUCUGCAAGAGAGAAAUGGCAUGAUGGAAAGGCCUGACAGGAAGAAAUCAGCUCAUGUCAUGGUGGUCAAAAUUCACACAGUGAAUACGGACCAGACAGUCAUAGAUGCCUCCAGGUCAAGGCCCAGGUACCUGCCUCUAGCCAGACUCUAAAGAGCACACUCAACUGCUAAAUUCACAUUGGUGAAUCCCUUGAUGAGUGUAGUGCCCUGAUGAUACAGGCAACUUUCAAAACACAAAGUUUGAACACAUCAGACUUUUCUGGGAAAUUUUAGAUCUAACAAAACAGUUGAUAUUAUUUUUAAAGUUCAAGAUCCAAUAUCAAUUGGUGGUUCUUUUUAAAUUUUAUUUUAAAGCUCUGUGCAUAAGCUUUCUAUGGAUUCCAAUGCCAUGAAAUUACUAAGAAUUUUUCACACUCAUAACCCCACUCUCCCAGAAUUUAAAGUCUAUUUUCUUUGCCUUUCAACUAUUUGUCAUAUUGUGUCUCGUUUCUUGUAAUAUAUUCGUAUAACAAAAUAACAUUAAUUAUAGGAGCUAGCUGUGUCUUGUUUCAUUCAUUCAUUAAAUCACUUAUGCCACCGGUAUUUAUUGAAAUGUAUUAUUUUUGAUAUAAUAUGGAUUGAUUAUAAAAACAAAGACUAUGGCUACUUUUGAAAAAUAUAUUCUUUCUAAAAGCAAGGGAAAAACAAACCAAAAGUAACAAUUACGUAUUUGCCAAUUGAGGUAAAUGAUGUUCCAAAUACAAGUAACAUCUUAAGAAAACAGUAAAAAUGUAGUAAUUAAAUUUCUCUGCUAUUUUGAAUAUUACCUUUUUUUUCAUCUCAAAUAGACUGCUUAGCAAUUUGGUAUGUUAUAUAUGUGAAUACAAAAAAAUUGGGCCUCCCAAACCUUGCCAAAGUUAACAUUAUAAUAAAAAGCAAAACCUUAUUUCUCAAAUUUAGUAGGAUUAAUAAUAUCCUGAUUCUUAUACUGAAAUAUUUUGCAACAUACUUUAAAUUACUGUUUAGCUGUUUCCUUUCACUUGGAAAGAUAUUAGAAUGAAUUUAACUAACUUCCUUUUCUAAGAGUUUCCUAAAUUUUAAGAUAUACUUGAAUUGAGGGAUCUAAUUCUUGAAAAGGUGUCUGAACUCCAAAAGAGAAAUUGGUAUCUCACAAAAUUGUAAACCAUUUUUAAAUCCAGUUAUUUGGCAAAAUGAUUUAGGUAGCUAUGGGCUUGUAGCAUUCAUAUUACGUUGAACAUUGUGCCACCUUUAAUAAGAAUGUUUCAUCAUUCUCUCUAUACUUAAUUCAGCAUCUUGAAAUGAAUAGCUAAGUUUCAGUUAAUAUAUAACCCUUCUGCUAAUGAGCAUUCAGAUCCCUCAAGGCCUAGGACCAAUUUGACAGUUGUCUGAGUGCUAUAUACUCCAAGAUUCUAUUAAGUGAUAUCAUAAUUUCCCGAAAAGUAAAUGUCAUUUUUGGCAAAUUUUCUGCCAAAGCACAUUCAUUGGCAAUAUGAAUUGAGAAGUUAACUUCCCUAGAGAAAAUUUUUCAUAAACUUUUGGCUGUGUUAUAUGAAAAUAAUCAGUGAAGGUCAUUUUGAAAGUCACAACAUAGUAUUGUUCAUGUCAGCUUAUUUGAUAACUAGAGAAAAAUUUAAGUGACUCAGGAAAUUGUACUUUUGUUACUCAAUAUACUUUUAUUAAUAUGUAAAUUUUGGAAUGGUUUUAUUUAAUUGGAAAGUAUGAAUUAUUUAAUAGGUGCAACUAAAAUUACUAACCAUACUGAAAUGUAUGUACCUACAUCUGUGACUGAAUUGGCAAAACACUUUGCUAUAACUUACAUGACUAUUUAAAAAGUGUAAAUUUAUAAAUUAAUUUUAACUGAUGAACAAAAAAAUAAAAGUUGUGCAUUGUAA